UCUCCAACUUGGAAUUUCGUAAAAUGUACACCAAUCUAACUACAAAUAAUCAAACAAGAAAAUAUAAUUUUUUCAUACAAAAUUUAAAUAACAACCCAUUAAAUACUUUUCUUUAUCAAAUUCUAAAUCUUCAUUUCUUUUUCUGAAGAGGGAAAUAAUUUUACAUCUCUGAUAAGAACUAAUGACAAAUGUGGUCGACUUGAAUAAGAUCAAGAGAAUUAAAAUUUCAGUGUCCCCCCCCCCCCCCCCCCCCUUCAACAUCGUCAAGUCUUAUCUUAUUCAGCUUACCAAAUAAGCCAGAAGUCUAAAGGAAUUUGAAAAGGGCUUUGCAAAUAUUAAUUAAUUUCAUUUCUGGGUUAUGUUUCAAGAAAUCCAGUCAUUUUGAGAAUUGAAUUCCUGACUUCACUCAAAUUUCUGCCCUUAAGAGUCCUUCCAUUUCCGGUGCAGACGGAGAACGCCAUCAUUUUCUCGGCGACCCGCUGGCUAACGAUAACGUGGGGUGGUACCAUUUCUCCACCGUCGUUUUCGUCAUCGAAAAUUUCCGAAUCUACAUACUGAACCGUCCAUAAACUUCCAGUUAUGUUUGCUGGGAUAUUUACCGGAACUGAAUUCUUCUUGGUCUUGAAUUUCUUCCUCUUGGUUUUGAUAUUUCUUCACGGAAAAUUGUACUCCUCGUUGCCAUCUUCAUCUCCGGCAUAGUCUUGAAAAAUAACUUCAGAUUCUUGAAAUACUUCUGCCAUGGAAAAUGAGAGAAAAGUACGAAUUAAAAUGGUAUUUAGGAAUUGGUAAAGGGUGGGAAAUGCAAGGAAAUUUAUAGAGGGCGAAAAUGAUUGAUUAGAGGAAGAGAGUUUGAUUGGGGGUGGUGAAGUGGCGUCAUUGUAAAGGGCGUUGAGUGCGG
RNAcentral lists this long non-coding RNA (898 nucleotides) under Olea europaea subsp. europaea. Lineage: Eukaryota; Viridiplantae; Streptophyta; Magnoliopsida; Lamiales; Oleaceae. The record is from RNAcentral.